ACAGGGAUUGCCUUAGUAACGGCGAGUGAAGCGGCAACAGCUCAAAUUUGAAAUCUGGCGUCUUCGGCGUCCGAGUUGUAAUUUGCAGAGGGCGCUUUGGGUAUGGGCAGCGGUCCAAGUUCCUUGGAACAGGACGUCACAGAGGGUGAGAAUCCCGUACGUGGUCGCUAGCCUUUACCGUGUAAAGCCCCUUCGACGAGUCGAGUUGUUUGGGAAUGCAGCUCUAAAUGGGAGGUAAAUUUCUUCUAAAGCUAAAUACUGGCCAGAGACCGAUAGCGCACAAGUAGAGUGAUCGAAAGAUGAAAAGCACUUUGGAAAGAGAGUUAAAAAGCACGUGAAAUUGUUGAAAGGGAAGCGCUUGCAGCCAGACUUGCCUGUAGUUGCUCAUCCGGGUUUCUACCCGGUGCACUCUUCUAUAGGCAGGCCAGCAUCAGUUUGGGCGGUUGGAUAAAGGUCUCUGUCAUGUACCUCCUUUCGGGGAGAACUUAUAGGGGAGACGACAUGCAACCAGCCUGGACUGAGGUCCGCGCAUCUGCUAGGAUGCUGGCGUAAUGGCUGUAAGCGGCCCGUCUUGAAACACGGACCAAGGAGUCUAACAUCUAUGCGAGUGUUUGGGUGUCAAGCCCGAACGCGUAAUGAAAGUGAACGGAGGUGGGAACCUUUCGGGGUGCACCAUCGACCGAUCCUGAUGUCUUCGGAUGGAUUUGAGUAAGAGCAUAGCUGUUGGGACCCGAAAGAUGGUGAACUAUGCUUGAAUAGGGUGAAGCCAGAGGAAACUCUGGUGGAGGCUCGCAGCGGUUCUGACGUGCAAAUCGAUCGUCAAAUUUGGGCAUAGGGGCGAAAGACUAAUCGAACUAUCUAGUAGCUGGUUCCUGCCGAAGUUUCCCUCAGGAUAGCAGUAACGUUUUCAGUUUUAUGAGGUAAAGCGAAUGAUUAGAGGCCUGGGGGUUGAAACAACCUU
RNAcentral lists this ribosomal RNA (961 nucleotides) under Allophoma zantedeschiae. RNAcentral describes it as "eukaryotic LSU rRNA". It matches the Rfam family "Eukaryotic large subunit ribosomal RNA", at positions 68 to 1048 of the family's 3401-position model. Lineage: Eukaryota; Fungi; Ascomycota; Dothideomycetes; Pleosporales; Didymellaceae. The record is from RNAcentral.